Molecule: ribosomal RNA, 491 nt
Filed under: uncultured bacterium
Lineage: Bacteria
Description: partial 16S ribosomal RNA
Rfam family: Bacterial small subunit ribosomal RNA
Source: RNAcentral
AGUGAACGCUGGCGAUAGGCCUAACACAUGCAAGUCGAACGGCAGCACAGUAAGAGCUUGCUCUUACGGGUGGCGAGUGGCGGGCGGGUGAGGAAUACAUCGGAAUCUACUUUUUCGUGGGGGAUAACGUAGGGAAACUUACGCUAAUACCGCAUACGACCUACGGGUGAAAGCAGGGGAUCUUCGGACCUUGCGCGAUUGAAUGAGCCGAUGUCGGAUUAGCUAGUUGGCGGGGUAAAGGCCCACCAAGGCGACGAUCCGUAGCUGGUCUGAGAGGAUGAUCGGCCACACUGGAACUGAGACACGGUCCAGACUCCUACGGGAGGCAGCAGUGGGGAAUAUUGGACAAUGGGCGCAAGCCUGAUCCAGCCAUACCGCGUGGGUGAAGAAGGCCUUCGGGUGGUAAAGCCCUUUUGUUGGGAAAGAAAAGCAGCAGGUUAAUACCCCGCUGUUCUGACGGUACCCAAAGAAUAAGCACCGGCUAACUUCGU